Molecule: long non-coding RNA, 478 nt
Organism: Syngnathus acus (greater pipefish)
Lineage: Eukaryota; Metazoa; Chordata; Actinopteri; Syngnathiformes; Syngnathidae
Exons: 3
Source: RefSeq, a predicted model, not a curated record
GCAUCUCCAAACUAUUCUGGCUGUUUCCAUUUACAGCUGGGAGUCAUCUGGGACCGAGGCAGCUGAGGACGUUAUUAAUGCAGGGAGAUAGCGACUCUGCCGGGGCAGGAAACCAGUUGCUCUGGGAGGAUGAAAAUAUUCUCCUCCCCUUUUAUUUGCCGUGCAACUCUUUGCUUUGGAGUAAAUGGAAGAAGACAGCGGACUAAGUCGCAGAGUCCCGGCCGGUGGACGUGAUUGCUAGCAGGUGGUCCUUCAAACGCUCAUGGGUCGGAGAACACGCUGUACACGAGACUGCAGCGAUCGCGCCUUCCCCCGGAGAUCAAUACCUGCGCUCGUCCACUCGGCCCGCAUUCUGCUUGACGGGCUGCAGGGACUGAUAACGAGGAAGAAGAAGACCAAGAAGCGGGAGAUUGCGAGGAGACGACUUGUGCGGGGAAUGACAACAAGAUCCAUUUAGAAUGGCUUUUAUACGCCCCCU